Molecule: ribosomal RNA, 295 nt
Filed under: uncultured bacterium
Lineage: Bacteria
Description: partial 16S ribosomal RNA
Rfam family: Bacterial small subunit ribosomal RNA
Source: RNAcentral
UAUCCUACGGGAGGCAGCAGUAGGGAAUUUUCGUCAAUGGGCGCAAGCCUGAACGAGCAAUGCCGCGUGAACGAGGAAGGUCUUCGGAUCGUAAAGUUCUGUUGAAGGGGAAAAAGAGCGGAGAGAGGAAAUGAACUCCGAUUGAUAUUACCCUUCGAGGAAGUCACGGCUAACUACGUGCCAGCAGCCGCGGUAAUACGUAGGUGGCAAGCGUUGUCCGGAUUUAUUGGGCGUAAAGCGAGUGCAGGCGGUUCAAAAAGUCUUAUGGUGAAACCUUCGGCUCAACCGGAGAAUU